CAUGAAGUUUGCUCAGGACUCCGAAUACACGGUGAAAGCAGACAGGGGAGGCUUUGUCUGGAACCUGUACUAUUUCAUAGCGAAUUUUACAGAAUAUAAUUAUAAUGGUACGAUGUAAAGACUCACCCAGAAAAUACAGUCUGCUGUUCGCCUUUCCAAUGCUACUAUUAAAUAUCUAUCUGAUGUGAAGAAUGAGAGAAUUUGGCCACUAAGUGGUUUUAGGACCAGACAAU
Non-coding RNA from Pelobates cultripes (western spadefoot toad), 233 nucleotides. The record is from the annotation of a GenBank genome assembly. NCBI's taxonomy places the organism in Eukaryota, Metazoa, Chordata, Amphibia, Anura, Pelobatidae.